Molecule: ribosomal RNA, 372 nt
Filed under: Triticum aestivum (bread wheat)
Lineage: Eukaryota; Viridiplantae; Streptophyta; Magnoliopsida; Poales; Poaceae
Description: partial small subunit ribosomal RNA
Source: RNAcentral
AUGCAGCUCACUUCAUCCCGUAUCGGGUGGUUUUUUUGUUCAAACUGCAGCUCACUUCGUCACAGCGUCUGGCAACAGCGUGAGGGUGCGGGCGCCCCUUCCCUGCAGUUCGGCGAUUCCACCUCCACAAAUGAGGUCGUCAAAGUUGAAGAGCGGCCAGUGUGGUGCCCCUUUCCAGUUUCCAGCAAGCACAUCAUGCAGUGCUGUCGAGUGUGGCGAGCGGUGCAGCUAGACCUAGUGUGCAGUCUACGGCCCUCACGUGCAGCUCUCUCCUGUGCUUGUUCGCGCGCGGAGGUAGAAAAGUGCACUGCAGUAGGGUGGCCGACGACAUACUUAUCUUUUUUAGUAGUUCAUCUUUGCAGUAUGUUCUAA